AUAUUCUUUAGCGGAGGAAAAGAAACCAACUGGGAUUACCUUAGUAACGGCGAGUGAAGCGGUAAAAGCUCAAAUUUGAAAUCUGGUACUUUCAGUGCCCGAGUUGUAAUUUGUAGAAUUUGUCUUUGAUUAGGUCCUUGUCUAUGUUCCUUGGAACAGGACGUCAUAGAGGGUGAGAAUCCCGUUUGGCGAGGAUACCUUUUCUCUGUAAGACUUUUUCGAAGAGUCGAGUUGUUUGGGAAUGCAGCUCAAAGUGGGUGGUAAAUUCCAUCUAAAGCUAAAUAUUGGCGAGAGACCGAUAGCGAACAAGUACAGUGAUGGAAAGAUGAAAAGAACUUUGAAAAGAGAGUGAAAAAGUACGUGAAAUUGUUGAAAGGGAAGGGCAUUUGAUCAGACAUGGUGUUUUUUGCAUGCACUCGCCUCUCGUGGGCUUGGGCCUCUCAAAAAUUUCACUGGGCCAACAUCAAUUCUGGCAGCAGGAUAAAUCAUUAAGAAUGUAGCUACUUCGGUAGUGUUAUAGCUUUUUGGAAUACUGUUAGCCGGGAUUGAGGACUGCGCUUCGGCAAGGAUGUUGGCAUAAUGGUUAAAUGCCGCCCGUCUA
RNAcentral lists this ribosomal RNA (601 nucleotides) under Hanseniaspora uvarum. Its description in RNAcentral is "eukaryotic LSU rRNA". It matches the Rfam family "Eukaryotic large subunit ribosomal RNA", at positions 40 to 655 of the family's 3401-position model. The record is from RNAcentral. Lineage: Eukaryota; Fungi; Ascomycota; Saccharomycetes; Saccharomycodales; Saccharomycodaceae.